GUGCUCACUUCAAUAGCACAUAUACUAAAAUUAGAAUGAUACAGAGAAGAUUAGCAUGGCCCCUGUAUAAGGAUGACACACAAAUUCGUGAAGCGUUCCAUAUUUUU
This 107-nucleotide small nuclear RNA is filed under the name Cervus elaphus hippelaphus. The record is from RNAcentral. Lineage: Eukaryota; Metazoa; Chordata; Mammalia; Artiodactyla; Cervidae.